This 3005-nucleotide long non-coding RNA is filed under the name Lepisosteus oculatus (spotted gar). RNAcentral describes it as "lncRNA (ENSLOCG00000021547.1)". The record is from RNAcentral. Lineage: Eukaryota; Metazoa; Chordata; Actinopteri; Semionotiformes; Lepisosteidae.
AGAAGGCUGUCUUCUAGGAAGGCCGUCGUAUUUCGCUCAAUAGACGUUGACAUGAUUGAUUUUUUUCAUAAAAUACGACAUUUUUGUAUUUACUGAAGCAUCAGACAUCUCAAUAUUCCACUUUAAAAUUCUGCGAUCACACAGUUGCUUUGCCGCCGCAAUUGCUUUAAAUAACACUAGCACUCUUGAUCUCGAUACUAAGAAACCUGAUGCUUCAAGACAAUGCCAUCGUCGACACGGAGAUGCAAGCGAAAUACUUUAAGGUGUUAAGCGGGAUGAAUGAUAGUUAGCUAAAUGUAGGGAAACAACAUUAAAGGAAUUUUAAAGAGCUUACUUUCCCUGGGAAAAAACUCCAUUGUUGCGGUUGAAACAAUUGGAGCUGUGACCGACUGCAGUGGUCUAGGGAUGAAUGGGGAAGCCACAGGAUGUGUGCGGGUCAUUGCCUGGGGUCUUCGUCCCAGAGCCCUUUUCCCAGCUCGCCACAAUGAACACGCACAAGGUAGAGGCUCGGCGGGGUCACAGGGCAACCCCCAUUGUGCCGUACUUCAGAACAGAAAAAAAAACAUUUAUUAAUCAGCACUGACCAGAAGCCCCUCGGCCAAAAGAGAAGACUACAACGGAGUGAGAGAAAAAAAAAAAGCAAUGCUUCAUCAGCCACUCCAGAUGCGAGAGCUAUCAUUAGGGCCACUUGUUCGGCUAGCAAAAGUUUGUAAUAAAACAUUUUACAAGUUAAAAGGGAUUCCUUCUCACACAGAGGAUGAAGAAGAACGCCGCGUCAAGAUACAUCGUGUUAUAUUCAACUGUACCUAUAUUUUGGGCUGUUGUAUGGGAGGUCAUUCCUUACCUGAUGUCUUCCCAGCAGGUCAAAAUGUUUCUAUCGCUCUGGAGUCAGCUGCUUCUACUGUAUCUUUACACCUUUUACUUAACCCGGACACUAACAGUCAAUGUUGUAUUGUAGAAUAAAUUGAUUAGCAUUCAUCAAUCGACAUAAAAAGCUACAGAACUGUAAUAACCUCAGAAGCAACAUUGAUUAUAUUACUUUGGAAGGCAAACUACAGUACAUGCACAUUUAAACGUUGAAUUUUCUGAAAUUUUAUUACUGUACAUGUUGUGGCCAUUUGAAAAUAAACUCCUUUGUUUCACAAACUGUAUCUGUAUUUUGCGAAAGUGGUAUUCUAAAGUUUGAGAACCAUUUUGUUGUAAACCAUGGGGUAUUUGGUCUUAACAUUUUAAUUGUACGUUGAGAGAUCCACACGAGAGUCACCUUCAGUAGCUUGUUAGUAGUGUAUCGGGUAACAACCGAGGCUUCUAUGUCUGAAAUAAACAACAUGUUAACAACUCAUCAGAACAGUUUUAGCGUUUUUUAACGUACAAAAUAUGCCGGUUUGUUUCCUAAUUUAUGUAAAGAGCUGGUGGUUUUUCUGCAUCAUUUCCAAAACAUGAAAUAUUUUUUUUUAGGUGUGGGAGGAUGAUGAUGAUGAAAACUACCCAUUACAUUUAUUAAAUACCAAUGUUAGAUCUUUGAAUGUCAUAUAAUAUUUAUAUUAUAUUAUGUGAUAUCAGUAUGAUAUUAAUUCAUGUCUGUAUAUGUUGUCUAAAUAUUUUGGUCAACAUGCUAUAUAUAUAGGACAGUGAUUUAUCAUGUUCUAUUUCAUCUGGAUGUAAUGUGUUCUCCUGCACUGAAAUUGUGUGUAAUACAUGGUGCCCUUGUAGGGCGGGCAAUGCAUUAAUAUUCAUGGAAUUGAAAGUUUGCCAUUCUGAUGUCUAAAACACUUACUGAUUUUAUAUGAAUUCAAAGUGAAAUUCAUAAUGUUUGCCAGAGAUUUAAAUGCAUUAUUCAGGAGCAUGCUUUAUUAAUGACAAAGGAAAGGUCCACUGUUGUGUUUUAUUCAGACCUUUUAUAAAGACUUUAGCUAUUAAAGAAUUAUCAUGAAUUAUUCAUUUUGGAAUGAUGGUACUUUUAGUUUAUGUAAACAUCAUCAUCAUCAUAGCCUUCAUCAUAAUCAUUAUCAUCAUCACUAUUCUGUACUGAUUUAGUGCCACAUGAAGUCAUGCCUUCGGCUAAUCAUAUAUUGUACAUAUGCAUUACAUAUAUCAUAUACAUUAUACAUACAAGAAGUAGAAAUGACAUCUAAGGAAAGACAGAUUGUUUGAAUGGCCAUAGCUGAUCAUUUCCCAAGCAGCAUUCAACUUCCUGGUGGUUCCAAUUUCACACCAAAUCUCAUCACAUCAAAAGAACAUAUUUUCUCAAGAGGCAGAAACAUUCUGGUGGCGAAACCAUUGAAAAUGGGCCUUAAACAAGAAAGUCUCAGACGGCGCGCCCUGAGAGAGCGUGUAGUGUCGACAGGGAUGCUUUGAGAACACACAGUACUGUAUAUAAGAAGUGAAACAGGAGUUAGGCAUUGUCAAAAUGUGGUACUCCGCUUACAAAAGUGCAGGUAGGAGGAUGACACGACGGCCUGGAGCAUCUUAAAGAAGGCACAGUAAAAAUAAAAGGCAUACAGUAUUUGUGAAAGAGCAAAAAAGAGCACCACAGAAGUUCAGUUAGAUUUACAGGUGAACCCGUAAUUUCCCUUGGUAAUGCUCAUAUACUGUACUGUAUUAAACUGCUUGAGAAUCUGAGGUGUUGUGCAUAGAUUCAUGUAUUCUUCCUGUAGUCGUUUGCAGUGUGAGAAAUAACCAAUAAAUAAUUAAGGAGAUUAAGUUUAUGGAAUCCUUUUCUCUCACUGUUUAUACAGUAUGUUUAUUUUGAUGUAUUUUGUUCUCAUUGUCAUGUAUACAGUAUUCAAAAAGUACCUUGCUUUUCAACUUCAUCAUGCUGACAUUGAUUACUAUUCUAGAGAAUGGAUACUUUUGAUUUAAUGGCAAGACAUGGCCAUGGACAUUUACAAAAACAAGGAUUGUUUUAAUUAGAAUAUAAAAUGAAUAAAAUCUGGUGUCCUCAACCAAGAUUCUUAGUUUGACAUGUUAGAGACAGUGUGAUUUGAAUGUAUUUUCAUUAUAAU